RNAcentral lists this ribosomal RNA (253 nucleotides) under uncultured bacterium. RNAcentral describes it as "partial 16S ribosomal RNA". It matches the Rfam family "Bacterial small subunit ribosomal RNA", at positions 524 to 776 of the family's 1533-position model. The record is from RNAcentral.
UACAGAGGGGGCAAGCGUUGUUCGGAAUUACUGGGCGUAAAGGGCGCGUAGGCGGCCUGCUAAGUCGAACGUGAAAUCCCUGGGCUCAACCCAGGAACUGCGUCCGAUACUGGUUGGCUUGAAUCCGGGAGAGGGAUGUGGAAUUCCAGGUGUAGCGGUGAAAUGCGUAGAUAUCUGGAGGAACACCGGUGGCGAAGGCGACAUCCUGGACCGGUAUUGACGCUGAGAUACGAAAGCGUGGGGAGCAAACAGG